GUUAGGGUGGCAGAACCUGGCCAUGCAAAAGAUCUAAGCUCUUUGAAUAGAGGUUCAAGUCCUCUCCCUAACU
Molecule: transfer RNA, 73 nt
Filed under: Lagocephalus guentheri (diamondback puffer)
Lineage: Eukaryota; Metazoa; Chordata; Actinopteri; Tetraodontiformes; Tetraodontidae
Description: tRNA-Leu
Rfam family: tRNA
About the family: Transfer RNA (tRNA) molecules are approximately 80 nucleotides in length.
Source: RNAcentral